GAUGAACGCUGGCGGCGUGCCUAACACAUUCAAGUCGAACGGACUUAACCUAGAAGCUUGCUUCCGGGUUAAGUUAGUGGCGGACGGGUGAGUAACGCGUGAGCAACCUGCCUGUGUGAGGGGAAUAACGACUGGAAACGGUCGCUAAUACCGCAUAACGUACACUGAUCGCAUGUUUGGCGUACCAAAGAUUUAUCGCACACAGAUGGGCUCGCGUUGGAUUAGAUAGUUGGUGAGGUAACGGCUCACCAAGUCUGCGAUCCAUAGCCGGACUGAGAGGUUGAACGGCCACAUUGGAACUGAGAAACGGUCCAGACUCCUACGGGAGGCAGCAGUGGGGAAUAUUGCACAAUGGGCGAAACCCUGAUGCAGCGACGCCGCGUGAGUGAAGAAGUAUUUCGGUAUGUAAAGCUCUAUCAGCAGGAGAAAAUGACGGUACCUGACUAAGAAGCCCCGGCUAACUACGUG
This 468-nucleotide ribosomal RNA is filed under the name uncultured bacterium. Its description in RNAcentral is "bacterial SSU rRNA". It matches the Rfam family "Bacterial small subunit ribosomal RNA", at positions 28 to 507 of the family's 1533-position model. The record is from RNAcentral.